Leopardus geoffroyi (Geoffroy's cat) is the source of this 2182-nucleotide long non-coding RNA. RefSeq lists it as uncharacterized. The record is from RefSeq and is a predicted model, not a curated record. NCBI's taxonomy places the organism in Eukaryota, Metazoa, Chordata, Mammalia, Carnivora, Felidae. The transcript has 9 exons.
UGACCUGAGCCGAAGUCGGACGCUUAACAGACUGAGCCACCCAGUGGACUGAAAGAGAUUGGGAGUUGAUUGGAUAGUCAGAGAUAGGUGCAGAAUUUAAACUCCUGGAUCAUAGAAAAAUUAAUGAAAUAGCAGAAAGAAUCAUAUAGCGGGCACAUUUUGUUGCUGAACAUGUUAGUCAAAUGUUGGUUGAUAAUUUCUACCUACAACGUUAGCAAGAAUUUUGGUGAAUGGACUAUGAAAAGAUGGGCAGAGACACUAGCCGGGAUGCUGGAGAUACAGCAGUGAACAAAACCCACACACCCCUCUGCCACCUGGGAGCUUACAUCAAAGAGGGAGGUGGAGAAUAAACAAGACUCCCUGUGAUCUGGCUACAUGCUGUAAAUUGCUCAUAGUGGUUCCUGCCUCCACGCCUCAUGAACAUGGUUCCUGUGUGUAGCCCAAUGCCAACCAGCUCUUUCCUGACAUGACUUUGUCCUGGGACACCUGCUCUUUCUUGCCCUGGAGACUCAAUGAUUUUAUGUCUGGAGGUUCAUAAGUCACAAGAUAUCUGGAAUUAGGUGGGAGACCAUGCUGGUGACAUUUGGAAGAACCUGGCUGGGGAAGAAUGAAGCUCAAUUAUUUUUGUCUACUUUGCUAACAAUUCAGAGUUCUGAAAAGUCUGGAUCGCACUAUGAGAAGUUUGUGUGCUUAGUGAAAUGUUGUCCAAUUGGCCAAUCCACUUGGUCUUGGGAAAUGUCCUAGAAGCUUGGCAAGAAAAUGUUCUCAAGAGAGCACAAAUGCUGCCAAUUUCCAAUUGGCCAAGACACAUUACAAGGACAACCUUCUCUCCGAGCAACCUGGCAUUUCCACUCCAAUUGGAAUCUGCAACACAAAGAUGCACGCGGGGGAAAGACUAAGUAAACAAACCGUUCAGAUUUCCGCUCCAGCCAGUUGCCUGGUACCAUGAUGUCACCUACUACUGUUUAGUUUCCAUCCACCAGGUCUACACUAGUGAAUACUCCAGGACCAGUAAAGUCACUUGUUUGCCAGCAGCAGCAGUUAUUUCUGCAUUGACCAAGCUGGUACUUUGCUCAUCAUCAAACCCAGUCCAAGUAUAGGUGGCUGCUUCUGGAAUUAACUUCCAAAUGCUGGAUGGAAGUCAGGUGUGUUUUCAUCAGGUCCGUGCAAAUCCAGGCAUUGAGUUGAUGUUGUGGAUAUAACAGGAUUGAUUUCUGGCCUUUGGGGAGCCAGCACACAGACAAUGAAGCAGGAAAACAUGAUGACCUAUGAUCCACCAGAAUGGAAGCUCCAUGAAUGCAGGGUGGUGCUUUUUUCUGCUUUUGCUCACUACUGUAUCACAAGCCCUUAGGGCAUUGCCUGCAAGCAGUAGGUACUCAACAAGUAUUUGUUGAAAGGUUAAAUAUGAUAAGAGAAAAGUAGAAAGGUGACCAAACGUGGGAUAGAAAGGAAUGUUAACCAGAGGAAGUGACAUAUAACAACCCCCUAAAGCAUAAGUGAGUUAGCCUGGAAAAGUAGGGAGAUCAUGAUUUUUUGCUUUUCACUUGCUUUUUAUUUGGGGUCUGUACUGCUUCCUGUGAUGUCUCCAUAGCUAAAUUCUUUUAUUUUUAUUUAUGUUUCUGACAAACUGACAUGCAGUAAGUAUGGAUCUUUAUUUAGCAUUUGCAAUGUCCAAAGUGGAAUUCUUAACCGAAGCUACUACUAGCUUCUGACUAUUUAGGUCUCCUGAGAUCACUGAGGCCAGGUCCUGCGUGCUUAAUUGAACACGUCACUUAUGUAUGCAUUCACGUAUUCAUUCAUUAUACACAUGUUUGUUCAGCACCCACCAUAUGCAAGAUAGUAGCUAUGUACUAAGUUGCCAGCAGAGACUGAUCAGCAAGCAUUGGAUCAAGGGAAUUGACAGUUCCCCAGAUUUGAGAGUUUAUGGGGGAAAUUGAUGAUAGAAGGAUAAGGUUUCGAACAGCCGUGGUCUGUGUCCAGUCCAUUAGCAAGCGAUUUUGGCAUAAGCAGCAUAGAAAUUAGCGGGUCAUGCAACUAGAUCUUUCCCUUCUGUAGUUGAAUCAAAUUAUCUCUUAGGGCGCCUGGUUGCCUCAGUUGGUUGAGUGUCUGACUUCGGCUCAGGUCAUGAUCUGAGCACCCUGCGUUCAGAGCCCCGUGUCGGGCUCUGUGCUGACAGCUGAGA